AUACCUUUCUCGGCCUUUUGGCUAAGAUCAAGUGUAGUAUCUGUUCUUAUCAGUUUAAUAUCUGAUAUGUGGAUCAUCGAUCCACACGAUAUUAAAUUAAUUUUUUGAGGGGAGAGUUCAAUACAGUAGCUUGCUACUGUGAACCCUAAGCGUCGCCCAUGCGUUGCACUACUGCGCGGGCCAGGCGCACCCCAC
This is a small nuclear RNA of 195 nucleotides. It matches the Rfam family "U2 spliceosomal RNA". From Rfam's summary of the family: U2 is a small nuclear RNA (snRNA) component of the spliceosome (involved in pre-mRNA splicing). Complementary binding between U2 snRNA (in an area lying towards the 5' end but 3' to hairpin I) and the branchpoint sequence (BPS) of the intron results the bulging out of an unpaired adenosine, on the BPS, which initiates a nucleophilic attack at the intronic 5' splice site, thus starting the first of two transesterification reactions that mediate splicing. The record is from Rfam.